ACUCCACGACCGAAACCGAAAUCCCAAAACGCAAAACGCCCAAACCCAAAUCAGAAACCCUAAAAUCAUAUUUCGGAUACUGUGGAAUUGAGGUGGCACACGGAUAGUGUGGAUCAGCUGUGUUGGGAUCCCAAGCUUGCUGAUUUGGUUGCCACUGCCUCCGGUGACAAAACCGUUCGGCUAUGGGAUGCGCGGACUGGGAAGUGUGCGCAGCUAGCGGAGCUUAGUGGCGAAAACAUUAACAUUACAUAUAAGCCGGACGGGACGCACAUUGCUGUUGGUAAUAGGGACGAUGAACUAACGAUUUUGGAUGUUCAGAAAUUUAAGCCAAUUCACAAGAGGAAGUUCAAUUAUGAGUAGCAACCUGAUACAUGAUUGAUCCUUUGAUUUACUCAUUCUUGAUUUGGAAUGGGGGAAACUAUCGAUGUAAGAGGAACCAAAAUAUGGCGGGCUAUCGAGAGUUGCGAGAGGAAGCAAGCUUAACUAGAGAGGCUGUGGGAUGAAAAGGAAAAAGUGACAAAGAAAUACAAACAAUUGAAGAUAAAACUGAAGAAGAAGCAAGAAGAGAUCAAAAACUAGAGAAACAAAUGCAAACAACUAAUGAUGAUGCAGCGUAAGAUAGAAGAAGGUGCUGCUGGGAAUGAAGAUAUUUUAGCUGUACAACUAGAGACCAACAUCAACAUACCUUAAUCUUCAUUAAAAUAUAGUACUUAUAUGUAAUAACUAAUAUUGAAUGUAAUAUCAUAUGCUACUGCUAUUGUUGAAUAUGCUACUGCUAGAUAUGGUACUGCUCAGAUAGCCAUAUUGCAUGACCUAAAGUUGUGGUGGCCAAGUUGAUCACUGAAAUUAAAUUUAUUCCUGUAAA
Molecule: long non-coding RNA, 865 nt
Organism: Rosa chinensis
Lineage: Eukaryota; Viridiplantae; Streptophyta; Magnoliopsida; Rosales; Rosaceae
Exons: 4
Source: RefSeq, a predicted model, not a curated record